ACUCCUACGGGAGGCAGCAGUAGGGAAUCUUCCACAAUGGACGAAAGUCUGAUGGAGCAACGCCGCGUGAGUGAAGAAGGGUUUCGGCUCGUAAAACUCUGUUGUUAAAGAAAGAACAUAUCUGAGAGUAACUGUUCAGGUAUUGACGGUAUUUAACCAGAAAGCCACGGCUAACUACGUGCCAGCAGCCGCGGUAAUACGUAGGUGGCAAGCGUUGUCCGGAUUUAUUGGGCGUAAAGCGAGCGCAGGCGGUUUUUAAGUCUUGAUGUGAAAGCCUUCGGCUCAACCGAAGAAGUGCAUCGGAAACUGGGAAACUUGAGUGCAGAAGAGGACAGUGGAACUCCAUGUGUAGCGGUGAAAUGCGUAGAUAUAUGGAAGAACACCAGUGGCGAAGGCGGCUGUCUGGUCUGUAACUGACGCUGAGGCUCGAAAGUAUGGGUAGCAAACAGGAUUAGAUACCCUGGUAGGAUAGC
This 473-nucleotide ribosomal RNA is filed under the name uncultured bacterium. RNAcentral describes it as "bacterial SSU rRNA". It matches the Rfam family "Bacterial small subunit ribosomal RNA", at positions 335 to 800 of the family's 1533-position model. The record is from RNAcentral.